GUGUCAGCAGCCGCGGUAAGACGUACCACCCAAACGUUAUUCGGAAUCACUGGGCUUACAGAGUCCGUAGGCGGCUCGGAAAGUUGGGCGUGAAAUACCUCAGCUCAACUGAGGAAUUGCGCUCAAAACUACCGAGCUGGAGAGAGACAGAGGUGAGCGGAACUGAUGGUGGAGCGGUGAAAUGCGUUGAUAUCAUCAGGAACACCGGUGGCGAAGGCGGCUCACUGGGUCUUUUCUGACGCUGAGGGACGAAAGCUAGGGUAGCGAACGGGAUUAGAUACCCUCGUAGUCC
This 292-nucleotide ribosomal RNA is filed under the name uncultured bacterium. RNAcentral's name for it is "partial 16S ribosomal RNA". It matches the Rfam family "Bacterial small subunit ribosomal RNA", at positions 505 to 796 of the family's 1533-position model. The record is from RNAcentral.